Molecule: non-coding RNA, 24 nt
Filed under: Arabidopsis thaliana (thale cress)
Lineage: Eukaryota; Viridiplantae; Streptophyta; Magnoliopsida; Brassicales; Brassicaceae
Source: RNAcentral
AGGGCAGUCCGGACGGCGUGAAUG